RNAcentral lists this transfer RNA (67 nucleotides) under Nasutitermes matangensis. Its description in RNAcentral is "tRNA-Ala". The record is from RNAcentral. Lineage: Eukaryota; Metazoa; Arthropoda; Insecta; Blattodea; Termitidae.
GGGACUAUAGUUAAUAAUAACAUUUGAGUUGCAUUCAAAAAGUACUACACCCGCGUAGUUAGCCUCA